CCAGUUCGACUACGGAGUUGACGACCCCUCCUUCUUGCCAGAGCAACCAGGCAAGCCCCCCCCCCUUGAUCACCAGAUAUCGCCUACUCUUCUCUAUACUGCUUGCAUUAGAGUAGUGUAGCAUGUUACUACUUUCUGUUAUACCUAUCCUGAUGCAUAGCCUGUCCUUGUUACUACUGUUGUUACCUUUACCUGUUAUCCUAUAUGCUUAGUAUAGGAUGCUAGUAUUCCAUCUGUGGCCCUACAUUCUUGUCUGUCUGCUGUGCUAUACUAUCGGGCCGUGAUCACUCGAGAGGUGAUCACGGGUAUAUACUAUAUACUUUAUACAUGAUACAUGUGGAGACUAAAGUCGGGUCGGCUGGUGGAGCACCCGUGAGUGGAUCUUUGAGGCGGAGCGACAGGGCAGGUUGAGACCGCCUAGGAGAGAGGUGGGCCUGGCCCUGUUCGGCGUUCGCGGAUACUUAACACGCUUAACGAGAUCUUGGUAUUUGAUCUGAGUUGGCUACGAGCCUAUACGCACUAACCAUCUACGCGGGAGUAGUUAUGGGUAUCCCGACGUCGUGGUAUUAGCCGAAGCACUUCAGACGUCAGCGACGGAGCGGCGCGCGCCGGAUUGGAUUGGAACGCCACUAGGCUAGGUCUGCUUCCUGCCGCCCACGCAACGUGCAGGUGUGCUCAGGGCGAUGGUCCCAGACCCCUGCGCGCUUAGGUUUAGACCGGCGUGCUGGCCUCUCUAUUGUGCCUAGGUGGGGCUGCGACGUGUUGAUCUUCCGUGGCCGGGCAUGACCCAGGAAAGUGUGUCCGGCCAAAUGGGAUCAAGCGUGCUGGGUAAGUUGAUGCACCCCUGCAGGGAAGUUAAUCUAUUCGAAUAGCCGUGAUCUUCGGUAACAGGACGACUUGGAGUUGUACCUUGACCUUAUGACAACUAGAACCGAAUACUUAAUAAAACACACCCUUCCAAGUUCCACAGACAACCUGGUGAUCGCUUUUCCACAGGGCGACGAGGGGAGGAUCGCCAGGUAGGGUUAUGCUAUGCGAUGCUACUGGAGAUGCUACUUGGAGAUGCUAUUUGGAGAUGCUACUUGGAGAUGCUACUUGGAGGACUUCAAUCUACUCUCUUCUACAUGCUGUAAGGCGGAGGCUGCCAGAAGCGUAGUCUUCGACAGGAUUAGAUAUCCCCCUCUUAUUCUGGCAUUCUGCAGUUCAGUCCACUGAUAUGGCCUCCUUACACAUAUACCCAUGCAUAUGUAGUGUAGCUCCUUGCUUGCGAGUACUUUGGAUGAGUACUCAUGGUUGCUUUUCUCCCUCUUUUCCCCCUUUCCCUUCUACCUGGUUGUCGCAACCAGAUGCUGGAGCCCUGGAGCCAGACGCCACCAUCGACGAUGACCCCCUACUACACCGGAGGUGCCUACUACUACGUGCAGCCCGCUGACGACGACCAGGAGUAGUUAGGAGGAUCCCAGGCAGGAGGCCUGCGCCUCUUUCGAUCUGUAUCCCAGUUUGUGCUA
This 1508-nucleotide long non-coding RNA is filed under the name Triticum aestivum (bread wheat). RNAcentral describes it as "long non-coding RNA (TAES_LNC011475)". Lineage: Eukaryota; Viridiplantae; Streptophyta; Magnoliopsida; Poales; Poaceae. The record is from RNAcentral.